AGCUCCAAUAGCGUAUAUUAAAGUUGUUGCGGUAAAAAAGCUCGUAGUUGGAUUUCUGUUGAGGACGACCGGUCCAUACCACGUAUGCGCAUCUGGCUCGGCCUCGGCAUCCUCUCGCGAAACGUUUCUGCGCUUGAUUGCGUGGAGCGGGUCUCGGGACUUUUACUUUGAGGAAAUUAGAGUGUUCACGGCAGGCUAUCGCCCGAAUACAUUAGCAUGGAAUAAUACUAUAGGAUUUCGCACCUAUUUUGUUGGUUUCUAGGCGUGAAAUAAUGAUUAAUAGGGACAAUUGGGGGCAUUCGUAUCAACACGUCAGAGGUGGAAUUCUUGGAUUGUGUUGCGACGAACUACUGCGAAAGCAUUUGCCAAGGAUGUUUUCA
RNAcentral lists this ribosomal RNA (380 nucleotides) under uncultured eukaryote. RNAcentral describes it as "SSU rRNA". It matches the Rfam family "Eukaryotic small subunit ribosomal RNA", at positions 587 to 972 of the family's 1831-position model. The record is from RNAcentral.